Molecule: long non-coding RNA, 205 nt
Filed under: Musa acuminata (dwarf banana)
Lineage: Eukaryota; Viridiplantae; Streptophyta; Magnoliopsida; Zingiberales; Musaceae
Description: long non-coding RNA (MACU_LNC010314)
Source: RNAcentral
AACUCUUCAGAUAUACUUAUUUGGCCUCAUGACAAUGGCAAAUUUAGUGCCACAUCCGUAUGGAAUCAAAUUAGACAAAGAAAUAACAAGUGGGUCCCAAGCAGUUGGACAUGGGAUCGACCGGGAUCACAAAGACACUCCUUAUGUACAUGGCAGGCCCUUCUCAAUAAACUACCUACAAUAGACAAUAUGAAAAGAAGAGGUA